Molecule: ribosomal RNA, 483 nt
Filed under: uncultured bacterium
Lineage: Bacteria
Description: partial 16S ribosomal RNA
Rfam family: Bacterial small subunit ribosomal RNA
Source: RNAcentral
UUGAACGCUGGCGGCAGGCCUAACACAUGCAAGUCGAGCGGAUGAAGGGAGCCUGCUCCUGGAUUCAGCGGCGGACGGGUGAGUAAUGCCUAGGAAUCUGCCUGGUAGUGGGGGAUAACGUCCGGAAACGGGCGCUAAUACCGCAUACGUCCUGAGGGAGAAAGUGGGGGAUCUUCGGACCUCACGCUAUCAGAUGAGCCUAGGUCGGAUUAGCUAGUUGGUGGGGUAAAGGCCUACCAAGGCGACGAUCCGUAACUGGUCUGAGAGGAUGAUCAGUCACACUGGAGCUGAGACACGGUCCAGACUCCUACGGGAGGCAGCAGUGGGGAAUAUUGGACAAUGGGCGAAAGCCUGAUCCAGCCAUGCCGCGUGUGUGAAGAAGGUCUUCGGAUUGUAAAGCACUUUAAGUUGGGAGGAAGGGCAGUAAGUUAAUACCUUGCUGUUUUGACGUUACCAACAGAAUAAGCACCGGCUAACUUCGUG